This 253-nucleotide ribosomal RNA is filed under the name uncultured bacterium. RNAcentral's name for it is "partial 16S ribosomal RNA". It matches the Rfam family "Bacterial small subunit ribosomal RNA", at positions 524 to 776 of the family's 1533-position model. The record is from RNAcentral.
UACGUAGGGGGCAAGCGUUGUCCGGAAUCAUUGGGCGUAAAGCGCGUGUAGGCGGCUCGGUAAGUCCGCUCUGAAAGUCCGGGGCUCAACCCCGGGAGGCGGGUGGAUACUGUCGAGCUAGAGUCCGGAAGAGGCGAGUGGAAUUCCUGGUGUAGCGGUGAAAUGUGUAGAGAUCGGGAGGAACACCGGUGGCGAAGGCGGGUCUCUGGGCAAUUCCUGACGCUGAGGCGCGAAAGCGUGGGGAGCAAACGGG